Molecule: long non-coding RNA, 4364 nt
Filed under: Anolis carolinensis (green anole)
Lineage: Eukaryota; Metazoa; Chordata; Lepidosauria; Squamata; Anolidae
Description: lncRNA (ENSACAG00000039219.1)
Source: RNAcentral
AUGUAUAUGUACAGUACAUGCACAUUUUGCCCUGUUACUUUCUCUUCAUUCUCUUCCCCUUUUUGCUACAUUUUCUUCAAGAUAAUAUGCUUUCUUUUAUUACAGGCAGGAAUCACUUUCCAUAGAGGACUUCAAGUCAUCCCCUCUCACUAUAUUUUUUUUCUGUCUGCUUCACCUGUUUGUAAUAGGCAUACACUUGGAAGAGAUCAUUGGCUAAUCACUCUUGAAUGGAAUGAAACUGCAACACUGGCUUUAAAUAGGAACAGAUGGAGAAGAUGUGGAUUGGCCUCACUGCACCUAUUAUCUUUCUACUCUAUACCAGACAUAACAGGAUCAUGCUGUCUUGGUGUGAGCAAUUCGAGUCUUCAUUGUUUUUACCAUGGUAUAAGCUUGUGGUGGUAUAUAGCCCGAUACCAGAUGGAGGAAGAUAAAGGAUGUUCUCACUGUUUCACUGAAAGACACGGCAAAGCUGAGGGCCCACGAUAGGCACACAGAGAGAAAGCUCUAUCUUCCAGACUGUUAAAAAUGCCCACUGCCUAAAAAGCAGGAUUAUUACACCAUAUGUCAAUAUCAUUCACAAUACAUCUAAAUGCUUUUGAGGACACCAUCAUGAGCUUGUUCCACAGGUAUGGCUAUGAAUACAUUAAGAAAACCCCCUUAGAAUAAACAACUUGGUGAAUUGCCCACUUUUCCAAUGUGCUAUCCCAGUGCCCCUUUUAUCCUCUUGAUGGAGGAGAAUGGCAUUUUCCCAUGGCUCUAAGAGCCAGCUGAAUUCAGAACAGAUGGCUAAUGUGAGCCUUAGUGUUUACACUUCUGUUUCUAUCAAUUUCAUUCUUUAAAGCAGUGCUAUAGAAAAAACUAUGAAAUUCAUGGGGUCGCCAUCAGUCGACAGGCAGCAUGCAGGCACUUACACAAACAUACAUAGAAUGGCUUACACUUGUCUUGUCCACAUCUAUAGGUGGCAAUGUUACAUAUUGUCAGCAUUGAGCAAGGUUCUUUCCAUACAUAGUAGCCUAAAUUGCAACAAAAUGUAUCUCUGUAUUCUGAUGAAUUUACAGUUUAAAUUUAAUCAAUGAAGCUGAAAGAAUAGCAUGAAGAAAAAGGGAUGGAAAGGAUGAAGGAAAAACAGAAAGGUGAAUGGGUACUGAUAUAUGCCAAAAUAUAUAGGCACAUUUCAAUGCGUUUCCACCAGGAAUAAGAUACUGCUGCUAUUUAAAAUGCAUUAGACACUUAAAAAAAAAAGACUGACAUGCAAUGGUUUAAAACAUAUAAAUCAGUAUCCCUGUAAUAUAGUAUUGCACAGGGACAACAAGAAGCUUAUAUCAAGCUCUGUUUAAAAAGGGAGACAUUAAAGCAGGGGUCCCCAAACUUUUAAAACAGGGGGCCAGUUCACGAUCCUUCAGACCGUUGGAGGGCCGGACUAUAGUUGGCCACCAAGCAAUAAUAAUUAAUAACAACAACAACAACAACAAUAAUAAUAAUAACAAAGAGGGUUGGAAGAGACCCGUUGGGCCAUUGAGUCCAAUCCCCUUCUGCCUUUGUGCACCGAAAGCACAAGCAAAGCACCCCUGACAGAUGGCCGCCCAACCUCAAUGUUAAUAAUAAUAAUAAUAAUAAUAAUAAAGAGGGUUGGAAGAGACCCCUUGGGCCAUUUAGUCCAACCUCCUUCUGCCUUUGUGGACCAAAAGCACAAGCAAAGCAUCCCUGACAGAUGGCCACCCAGCCUCAAUGUUAAUAAUAAUUAAUAAUACUAAUAGUAAUAAUAAUACUACUGCUAAUAAUAAUAAUGGUUGUAAGAGAAGAAGAGACCCUUUGAGUCAUUUAGCCCAACCCACUUCUGCCCUUGUGCCGUGGGGGCCGGAUAAAUAGCUUUGAUGGGCCGCAUCCGGCCCCCGGGCCUUAGUUUGGGGACCCCUGCAUUAAAGAAUAUAUAUCAAGCUCUGUUUAAAAAGGGAGACAUUAAAGAAUAUACUAAAACACAGCUUAAAGAAAUUGUACAAUCAGUAUUACAUAUACAAUUCCAAACAUGUAGAAUUGCAAGGAAUCGGCACAGUUCCCUGCUUUCUUUUGUCUUAGUGGCAUACUCAUGUAGAUUAUUGCAUACAUUCAAAUGCAAGGUUUACUGCAUGAAAAGCUCUUUAAACUUCACUCACAACUAACCAGAGAGAUUUUAAGUCCUUUCAACAGAAAACAGAAGGGAGUUUGACAAAUAAUUUGAGAUACAGCACUGUGAGGCAAGAGGGUGGGCAUUUGUACACUAUUCAGACACAAAAGUCAAUAGUACAAAACAAAUUCAUGCAAGAAAAAGCUUCACCACCACAAUGGAGAAAGCCAUGCACAUGGAAGUAUGGUAUUAUCUAUAUACAACUUUUCACAUAUACUUUACAGAUUAGUUUACAAACACACAGAGACCAAAGUUUAAUAUAAAUUAUUGAAUAAAACAGAAAACACAAUUAACUGGAAAACAUAAGAUAAGCAACAGAGGAAUUCACCCUAAGUGCUGCAUUAUUUGAGAAGGGAUGUAGCUUAGGUUCACAGCAGAUACAUUGCUUGCAGAAAGUUUUUGGCUAUUCCAGAUUGGCCUGGAAAAACUUUUGCGUAAAACUCUGGACAGCCAGUGCUACUCGGUGCUAUGAAUACGGUCUUGGCUUGGUGUAAGGCAGCUUCAUACGUUCAAGUCAGAUUCUUGACUCUCCCCAAUGGGCUUAGUAAAUCCCAUUAUGGCAGUUUGAGCAGGGGGGGCUACCUAAACUAGGGUGGUAUUACUCGGUUCCCUAUCCUCUAGUGGUAAGGUUACCCAUUCAGAAUUAUCCCAACGCUCUGCUCCAAAACCUGAGAAUUAGAGGUGACCCGUGGUGAUGUUGUCCCAAGAACUGAUGAGCUUAUUUCCUUGUGUGCCAAGGCUCAAAUAUUCCCAAGCAACAACAGACAAACAUGGGGGCUGGGUCAGAGAUCUUUACUGAUUCAAUGAUCAAAGAAAAAUGUUCAGUGGAAGGUUCCCAGAUCAUAGAAUCAUAGAGUUGGAAGAGACCUCAGGGGCCAUCCAGUCUAACCCCCUGCCAAGAAGCAGGAAAUUGCAUUCAAAGCAUCCCCGACAGAUGGCCAUCCAGCAUCUGCUUAAAAGUCUCCAAAGAAGGAGCCUCCACCACAGUCUGGGGCAGAGAGUUCUAGUGCCAAACUGCUCUCACAGUGAGGAAGUUCUUCCUAAUGUUCAGGUGGAAUCUCCUUUCCCGUAGUUUGAAGCCAUUGUUCCUAGUCUGCAGGGCAGCAGAAAACAAGCUUGCUCCCCCCUCCCUAUGAAUCUCACCUCACAUAUUUAUACAUGGCUAUCAUGUCUCUUUUCAGCCUUCUCUUCUGCAGGUUAAACAUGCCCAGCUCUUUAAGCCACUCCUCAUAGGGCUUGUUCUCCAGACCCGUGACCAUUUUAGUUGCCCUCCUCCGGACACAUUCCAUCUUGUCAACAACUCCCUUCAACUGUGGUGCCCAGAAUUGGACGCAGUAUUCCAGGUGUGGUCUCACCAAGGCAGAAUAGAGGGGGAGCAUGACUUCCCUGGAUCUAGACAUUAUACUCCUAUUGAUGCAGGCCAAAAUUCUGUUGGCUUUUUAAGCUGCUGCACAUAUCUUUCUGUUUGUGGCUGUCAGUAUGUUAUGGUUUUCAAAAACAAUGUGGUUUGCUUUGAUUGGUACAAAGUUAACAGUCUGGUUUUCAUUGGCUUGAUGUACAUACAUUUCUGGAUUUUUUACAACUGUGAUUGACAAAUUGUGUACAGCGGGAAUUUUUAAUAAAGUUUUAUUGGAGUUUGUUGCUAGCUAAUCAUGUCUGUCCCCAUUUUGUGGGCUGGGUUUUCCAAAGGGGACAAAGCGUGGCUGGCCACAAUAGUGGUGGUGAUGGGAUAUCAGGAUGAGGAAUAGGUUGACCUUAGGUGAUGAGAUUUCAUGCUCCCUUUUCAAUGGGACAAUGGAAAGUUGUGCUAAUGUGAUGAGAUUUCUGAUUGCUCUAAAUAGAAUUUAUUCAAUAUUGCUGGUGAUUGGCUGCCAGUUGAAGAUUUUGACAACUACUUGAAUCCAGGUGUUUGUCUGGUUACUGGCUGAUAUGGAAUUUCCUGUGUCCCACCUGUGAGCUUGCUUAUUGACGUUUCAAGGGGGAGACAGAUGGGACUCCAAACAAGGACUUUCCAUUACCUCAUGACCAGAGGGAUACCAAACCCAUUUUUGAACAACAUCAAUAAAUAUUCAUUAUUACAUGUAAAUCACAGGUGCUUACAGCUUAUUAUUCAAAGGGACACACAGAAAACAUCAUCAGAAGAAACCAAAAUGAAAACAUAAAUUUCUUUUUGGAAAUUAAUAGAGAAAUCUUAGGUGAA